Molecule: long non-coding RNA, 730 nt
Filed under: Medicago truncatula (barrel medic)
Lineage: Eukaryota; Viridiplantae; Streptophyta; Magnoliopsida; Fabales; Fabaceae
Description: long non-coding RNA (MTRU_LNC000831)
Source: RNAcentral
AGUCACAGCAUGGUGGUGAAGUGUAGUAUAUGUCUCAAGAUUCUUAUAUAUAGCUGGUUUGAACUUUAAUCAUUUCAUGACAUGGAGAUGGAGGGAAAGUGUGCCAUUUUGUUUUCUAAUAGCUAGCCGACUUCAAAAUAGGUGGGAGUGGAAUUUACAGGAACCUUUUACUCUUAUGUUCGUUAUCGUUAAAAGAUAUUAUUUGAAAAGUUCAGGUAUGUUCCAUUUAAGUUAAGCUCCAUUUACUUUCACAUUCUUUUAUCAUUUUACAUAGGAGUAUGAAAAUAGAGCAUUGCAUUCUAAGUAUUAAUAUUCUUGAGCAAAAAGUGCAUUUGUAUGUAUGGUCUAACCAACUCAUAUUAGCACUGAUGCACAAUAGUUGAUUCUAUUAAUGAUAUGAUUAGUAUGAAAGGUGAGCUAAAGAAAAAGAAGGAAGACAAAGUUUGAUGCUACCAACGCAUCCCUUCAGGAAAAAGGUCACUGUCUAGACGGUACAACCAAAGACAUAAAGUGCCAAGUUUUAAUAAAAUGUGGGGAAAAGGCACUAUAGGUUUGGAAUAAACUAGCUUGUUUAUUAGGAGUAUUAUUUGACUCUUCAACAUUUAUUGAAAAUUAGUGCAUGGUAAUAUGUGACAGCCCUAGCAAUAUUGGAUGCAUGCUUUGAAGUUUAGUCAAUUCAUUAAAAUAUGAAAUUUUCCAACUUGAUUUGGACACUGCUAGAAUACAGUGC